UAAUCGCGGAUCAGCAUGCCGCGGUGAAUACGUUCCCGGGCCUUGUACACACCGCCCGUCACACCAUGGGAGUUGGGAGCGCCCGAAGCCGGUGAGGUAACCGAGAGGAGCCAGCCGUCGAAGGUGAGACCAAUGACUGGGGUGAAGUCGUAACAAGGUAGC
This 162-nucleotide ribosomal RNA is filed under the name uncultured bacterium. Its description in RNAcentral is "partial 16S ribosomal RNA". It matches the Rfam family "Bacterial small subunit ribosomal RNA", at positions 1339 to 1500 of the family's 1533-position model. The record is from RNAcentral.